RNAcentral lists this long non-coding RNA (15476 nucleotides) under Fragaria vesca (wild strawberry). RNAcentral's name for it is "long non-coding RNA (FVES_LNC002529)". Lineage: Eukaryota; Viridiplantae; Streptophyta; Magnoliopsida; Rosales; Rosaceae. The record is from RNAcentral.
UUGAUGUACAUGUUGAAUAGUAAAAUGAGAUUACUAAUGCAGUAAGCUUUUGAACUCAAUACAAGUAGUCUGACAUGAGUAAUGAAUAAGGCAUAAUAUUUAAGUAAACCUGAAUAGAUUACUAAUUAUUUCAAAACUUGAAGAAGUAAAUUAUUGAAACUCUUUCAAGUCUUAUAACGAAAACAUACUAAAGAUAAAAGUGCAUCAUCAACUCUCAAUGUAGUUGGAAACGUAUAACUUUCAAAGCAAUAUAAAAUUAGAAAAGAAAGGGAUUUGCACCUAAAAAUAAACUGACAUUUGGUUCCCAUCAGCAGCUCUUUUUGCGAUGAUUUUUUGUUGAAAUGAUCUAAAAUAUUCUGCACGAACUAGUUCCAUUGUAGAAGUAUUCAUUGCCAUUAUUGUAUUGUCCUCUUUUCGAACUUGAAUUUCAAGUUCCUGUUUCCUCAGCUUGAUGUUCUCUUGUUUAGCAUUAUACAUUAGUUGAAAUUGCUCAUCCUCCUUACGAGCGUGUUCAACUUUCAGAGCAUAAUAGUCUCCUAAUUCGGACUGGGUUGCUCCGACUUUCUCUUUAGCUUUUGCAUUCUUUGCCAAGGUCUUGGCAGCCUUUUUUCCUAUAGGCCUCACCAAGCCUUGAGACUCAUUGCGACCAUCACCAUCAGCUAAAUCGACUGUAUCAGGGCUAGCAGAUGGAGUGUCAAGAGAUGGAGUGACAGGAGAUGGAGUUGCAGAUCGUCUUUGGUUUUUCCUAGAGAGUUCCAAGUUCCAUUUUGGGUGGAACUUCAACAGAUUCCAACAAUGCUCAUAUGCAAAGUUUCUUUUUAGCAAUUUCCUAAACUUUUGUUUGGCUUCCUCAGCAUAGAAAUACCCCCAAAUUCUUUUCCAAUAUGCAUCACCUUUUUGAUCAUUUCCUAUUAUUGGAUCAAGGGAAGUAUUGAGCCAGGCAGAGACAAGAAGGAUGUCUUCUUGACUGGAGAAAUUCUUGACUCUUUUAGCUUUCUUUGUGGUUUGAGAUUCACUCUGAACACCAACUUGAUUUUGAAUAGGGCUCUGACUAUAGCUAAUACCAUCACCAGAUGCAAGAUAACCCAAAUUCGGAAACAUAUUUUCAUUAUUCCCUGAGCUUCCACUGAGGAUACUGGCAUAAUUUAAAAUAUCAUCUCCUAAAUCUAUUUCAACAAGAGGGACUUGAGUAGAAUCCAUCUACAUGUAAAGAGAGUUGAUAAAGCAUCAAAAAAGAUUUAGAGAACAUGUCAAAGCAACAAGUAUAUCCCAUCAAUUUCAUCAAGUAUGUAAUCCAUACACGAUCCAACAUCCAUCCAAACACUACGUCAAUUUUGCAAUCAUACGAUAGGGAUCAGACGACAGAAGUCGUUUUUACUGUCGUCUGAUAAAUUUUAACGACAGACAUUUAAAUAUCUGUCGUCUGAAUAUAGCAAACGCGCAAAGAUUAGAAUUCCCGAAUUGUUGAGAUGGCAGAUGACUGUCGUCUGAAAAACCAGAAGUUUUUUGUUUUUUUUGGCAUGACUGUAAGAUCAUUUUUUUGACACUUAAACCAACUCUCACAUCCCAACUCUCAUUCUCUCUCCCCGAUUCAUAUCACUCUCACAAUAACUCUCUUGCUCAUUCUCUCCACUCAUAUCCUCACACCUUCAUUCUUGCCCAAAUCCUGUCUCUCUCCAUCUCCAUCUCCAUCUCCGAUCUCUCUUCGGCAGACACAACAUAUCUCUCCCUCUGACGCGUUUGUGGGCAUCGGUCUUUCCAAAACCAGCCAACCCUCAUGUUUCACGACUGUUGGUAAGCCCUUUAAUUCACUAUUAUUCGAUUUAGGGUUCUUACUGGAGUCGUUUUGGGUUUUGAGGUUCAUCUGAAAUUCAAUUUGGGGGUUUUGAAAAUUUCCUUUCAAUUUCGAAUUAGGUUUGCUAGGGCUCGUUUGAAUUGGGGAUUUUGAAACAGACAUAGGUUCAAUCGAAUUUAAUUUAAUUACUAAAUUCAAUUCUGAUUGCUUUAAUCGAAUGAUUUUUUGUUUGUUUUAGGGUUUCAUAAUGGUGAUUAGGUCAAGGGAUAUGCUGGGUUGAUUCCAAAAUUUAACUCGUAUAUUGUUUUCUUUGAUCCAUGUCCAUGAAUAAUGUAUUCCUAUUUAUGGUGGUUUGGUCAUUUUUUCUGGAUUUCAAUUUGGUGGUUUGGUCAUUUUCAUUUGAAAUUCGCUUUGGGUUGGCUAAUUUUUAAUCGAAUUGGGUGUGGGGUUUAUUGGACUUGGGUGUGUACGACUUGCAGAAAUUUUGAAGUUAGCAUCUCAGAAGAUGUCGAGCCAUUGCGGGUUACAGUUUCGUGUUUUUAAACAUGCAUUGAUAGUUACAGUUGUGUUCUAAAUGCAGAAUUGGUGAAGUUGAUGAUUACCCAGUUAGUAGUAAUGUCUAUUUAAAUUAAGGGAUUGGGUGACUUUUAUUGGGGAAUUUAUAUUGAAUGAAAACCAGUUAUGUGUAUUCCCAUAUUAGUUCUCUGAAUGAACAAGAUUCUUGAACAAUAAGGGUCUAGUUGUAGCUAAACUCUGAAGCAGCUAAAAGAAUGGAAUUAUGGGAUUCUUUUGAUAUGAAUUUGGUGUUAAAAAUUUGACAUCUUUUUUAGUUGCUCUAUAUCUUUCUUGUUGUUGAUGUAGCUGUUGCUUUGGUUCAUUAGUGAUGAUGAAUUGAUGAUGAUGGUUGCUGCAAAGAGGCAUGAAAGAAAAAUUUGAAAAUAGAUAUUGCGCUCAUUCUUUUUCUUUUUUCCUUUACUCUUUUGAUAAAUACUUUUCUAUGCUCUCAUUUGAUUCUCUUUUUUGACAACAGAACCAUUAUAUGGAAACCAAAACAUCUGUGGCUGGUUUGGUCAGUAUUGGUUUUGGGACCAUUUAUGCUGCAAGUAAAGGUCAGCCCAUUACUUACAUAUAAUGUCUAAGUUUGCAAUGUGGUAUUUUACAUUAUAUGAAGGGAAAAGGCAAAAGCUACAUUUUAUCUUAUCUUGUUUGUUUUCUUCUGCUGCGAUUAAUUAGCUUAUGAAAAUCUGGCUUGUGAAUGGGCGAAAGACAAUAUCAGGAGCAAUGAUAUUGCUCCUUGGUACACCACUAGAACCUCACUUGUGGAACAUGUAAAAUACUCGUACCCUUUUUAGAUUAUCAUCAGUUAAAACCUUUGCAUGUGUGAAAUAGUAUAAUCUACUGGAGAUUAAUGUCUUUUUUUUAGAGUUUACUUAGGAUAUUCAGAAAAAUUAUGCAGCAGACCUGCAACUUUGAAAAUUCAUAACUAAUUGUAGAAAACUUAUUUUGAAGAGAUUUCAGUUCUGAAAUGAUCAUGUACAUGUCUAAUCUAACUUUCAUGAAGACACAAAGUUUGAACAACCAUCCAGUUUGUACAGUUUUUAGAAAGAAGGUAACUGGUACAAAAUCUCAGAAAAUACUGAUCUGCAGAAUUUCCUGAUGCAGGUCCUAGACUUUGAAAAAUCAUAACUUAAUCUAGAAAAAUCAUUUUCAAGUGAUUCAAAUUCUGGAAUGAACCUUAAGAUGUCUACUACAAUUCUUAUGAAGAAACCAACUUCAAAUUCCAAAUGAAAUUGUACUGUUUUCAGACCAAAGCUAACCGAUCCAGAAUCUCAGAACUCCAAAUAUUAAAGCUGAAAAAUAAUGAACCAAUUUUAAGAACUUGGAACCAAUUAAAGGGCAUAAACAAUUUAAUAAAGAUGUCAUAGAUUUCAGACUUUUCAGUAUAUGCAUGGUUUUCUUUUAUGGAUGAGAAGAUUGUAUAUAUGGAUUCUUUGAUAGAGUUUACAUUCAUUGAUAUGUUAAUAUCAUUGCAUUUGCUAGAUGUAUCUCAUAUCAUUGAUAUGUUAUAGUAAAAGUGAGCAAAGAUUUGUGUUACCUUCUUUACUCUUUAGAAUUUGAAAUUUUUAACUUCCACAAAGUAGCAUGUAUACCUGCAUAUUAUGUAAUUUUCUAAUAUUAGGGAGCAAUAAUGUUGUGCAAUUCUAAGGUCAAUGAGUGUAUCUGGUAGUUAUUGCUCUAUGCAAAUUUGUCAAUGUAUCUAUGAGUGUAUCCCUGCACAAAUAUGCACUUGUCCCUGCAUAUUCUGGUAGUUAUUGGUAUGUGCAAUACUUAAAUUAUUCAGGGGAAAAAUGAUCAAUGCCUUUGUGAUAUGUGAAUAUACUUUCCUAGCAGCAUGUUAUGAUCAUGUGUUUACUGUUAUAAACUAAGAUUCAUAUUUUAUCUUAUUAGGAGAAGAUGAAGGGCAUGUCAACAGAUGAGCUCAUGAGCAUAUCAGCAGGGACAGCAGACUUGUCAAUGGUAGAGAGUUUACACUUGUUUUAAUUUUGUUGAACGGUUGGAGAUAGAGUGUCGGUCUAUGUGCAAGUUGGAGCUAAUUGUUCAUGUGUUGUUCUUUCUUGUGUUUCUUAGUCAAAUGAAUGGUAAGCAUUUGUCCAUACAAUUAUAACCAUGUGAUACUACUCUAGCAUUUUGAUCCUCAAUUUAGACUAGUACCUUUUAUGAUCAUUUGGCUAUGAUCCUAGUAAGAGUUGGACUUAAUGAUUUUAUAUUUCUUUAUUCUUGUCUGCAUAUAUGCACUGUCCAAAUACUAUUAUUUCAGGAACUUGGUCUCAUUCAUUAUUUUAUUUUUUUUGGCUCUUCAAGAUUACUCAAAGCACCUCAAGUAUAGGAAGUAAUUGCAAUUUGCAAGAGAUUUUCAUGAUAAUGAAUAGAAAUUAAGGCAUAUUUUGAUGCAAGUAUAGACUUUUCAGAGUUCAGACAUAUGUUUAUGUCUUUAUGAUCUAUAGCAUGUCGAUUUUUAAUUCUUUGAAUUUACAUAGCAUACAUUUAAUUGUAUCUUGAAUUUUGAUUGACAGAUCUUGUGCUUGCAUUCUAGAAUCCAUCUGACUGACCAACGUGGGUGGUACUUGAAUUUUACCUGGGUGUUCAAACCUGCCUCAAAUCUUCAGUCGCUGGAUAUAUCCCAGGACAUGAUGAACAUCCAGGUAUAUUAAUAAAACUUUAGUUAUAUCACUUAUAUAUGCAUCUUUCCAAACAAGAUUCAUUUCAUGGGGUAUAGAACCUUACCCGAAUUUAUGUACCAGCUCAUAUUGUUAUAUGAAAUAGAACUAGCUCGAAUAGUUAUAUCCAACAAGUUGACUAGAGUAGUACUUUUACAAGUUCUUGCAAUAACAGUAAAAAAGAUUUCAACAUCUUGUUAUAAAGUAUUGGUUGAUCAUAAAUUUCCUUGAACAUCAGGUGGUGCUUUGAUAUUCAUAUGAUUAUGUUGAUUUCAAUUUUUCAACAUCCAGAAUAGUGAGAAUAGCCAUAUGCUUUUCUAAAGCAGUUAAAACUGUCAUUACCCCAUUUGAAGCCAACAAUUUAACUGCUCCAAAUUGAAUCCCUUAAUUCGAACUUGUAACAAUUGCAUGCCUGAUAAUCAGUUAAUUAAGGUGUUGGAUAAUGAUUUUUCAAUUCUGUUUGGUUUUUGUGUUCUUUAAGUAAAACUUGUUGAAGUUCUGUAUCUUCAACUUGGCAGGAGACGCUUGAUUAAAUGGUGGAUGCUGAGUUAGGGUAUAAAGGAGGAGGUAUCAGAGUACACCACUACAGAUGACUUUCUGCCCUCUAGAGUACACCACCAAUUAUUUGGUUUGAUUGUUUUUUUCUGUAGUUAUUAGGUUAUAUAUGGAAUGACCAUUGUAUUGUAGAUGUACUGUAGCCUGUAGGUCAUUAUAAAAAUAGUAACUUAUUGAUGUUAUAGCUUAUAGGUCUCUUUAUAACUCUUUGUAAACUUUGUUGGUUUUGGGGAAUGAGAAUGGCUUUGAGAUUUUUGAAUAAUGUUCUGCAGAUGCAGACUUUUGGUAUAGGUCGCUUGAUUAUAUUGUUGGUCAUAAAACAUUCAAACGAUAGACAUAAAGAACUUAUUACACAUUAAAACGACAUAUAAUUGUCUUUUGGUACUGAUAUAAACGAUAGACAAGUAAACACAUCUGUCGUCUGUAUCAUAAAAUUACAUAAAAUUAAGCAUUCAUACGACGAAAUUGUGAUGUCUGACCUGAUCUCAAACGAGAGACAAAUGAGGUUAUAAACUAUUUCAACGACAAAUAAGCGUAGUAGUACUCGUGUAAAGACGACGGAUAAGUUAAGAAAAGAAAUGAAAAAAACAUUCGAACGUCAAACAAGUGACGUUAGAAUUUGUUUGAGACGAGAGACAGAUGAAAUCAUUUGUAGCUUCAGUGUCCUUUCAACGACAAUUCAUUGUCGUUGUAAUGCUUUCUAACGACAGAUUCAUUUUUUGUGUUACGAACUUGGAUUCAUACAAAUGACAUUCAAUCUAUCGUAUAACCUUCAUCAGACGACAUACAUCGCCUGUCGACUCAGAGCUUAUCAGAUGACAGCUUGAUAGACGACACGCAAAAAAAUAAUCAGACUACGGGCAUUGCCCGUCGUCUGAAGGCAAAAUUGGCGCAGUGAAAGCAUAUACAUACACUACCAGAAGAAAGGCUUUAGCCAACGAAAAUAAAAAAACCAGGCCGACGAACCAUUUUUUCGUCGGCUAAGGUUCACGUCUUUCGUCGGCUAUGGUCAACUUUAAUUUCGUCGGCUAAAAAUUUUUUUUCGUCGGCUAAAGUUCACAGACUAUAGCCGACGACUUUAACCAUACUUUAGCCGACGAAAUUAAAAUUUUGUCGGCUAAAGUGCUUUAUAUUCGCAGAUCUGGACUGCAGCUCAUCUGGGGAAAAAAAACGGGAGAAAAAGUUUGGGUGUUGUCGAAAUCUGUCCAUAAUUAGUUUGUGGAGCUAUAUAUAGUUACGUACGACGUUCUUGAAAGUGUGAUGGACGUAAUGAAGAUUAAAGUUGAGACAAAAUCGACCGUAAAGGCUGUUGAUGAUUAUCUACAGUACACUGCUUCGAUGCUGCCCCACGGUCAUCGUCUUCCUACCACUCAUCAUAAGGUCUGAUGUAUCCUGAAAGAUCUUGGGCUUUCCGACAUCAAGAUCCAUGCAUGCAGAUAUGACUGCGUUCUCUUCUGGGUUAAAGAUCCAGAAGGGAAUGACCUUGGUGGCCUUGACGCAUGUCCGGUAUGUCACACUGACAGGUAUAAGCUGACUCCUACAGGCAAUAGGAAACCUGUGAAGGUACUUCGGUAUUUCCCGUUGAGGGAUAGGCUGGAGCGGUUGAGGGAUAGCUUCACACACGGCCGAAGCUAUGAGAUGGCACGCUAAUAGGGAAUUGCAUGACGAAGAUACCCUUAUACACCCUGCUGACGGGGAGGCUUGGAAGCAUAUAGACAGGCAGUUUUCUCAUUUUACGUCAGAGGUCCGAAAUGUGAGGCUCGAGCUCUCAUCCGACGGGUUCAACCCUUUUGGCAACAUGAGUCUUCAAUACAGUGUGUGGCCGGUGAUUUUGGUACUGUACAACCUUCCUCCAUGGAUGUGCAUGAAGAAGGAAUACAAUAUGUUGAGUUUGUUGAUUCCGGGGCCCGGUUAUCUAGGGAAGUGUCUCGAUGUGUAUUUGAGACCUUUGAUUGAAGAGCUUAAGUUUUUGUGGGACGUUGGUCAUCCCACUUAUAACAAGUACAUGCACGAGAUGUUCCAGAUGCAUGUCAUGGUUGUUGGUACCAUCAGUGAUUUUCCUGCCCGUGGGAUGUUGUCGGGCAACGUUGUUAGGGGAUACAAAGCCUUUCCAGAGUGCCUUAGCGAUGAGGGGAGCAGAAGUCAUUGCAACAAGAUAUGCAAAUUGGGUCACCGUACUCUCCUUCCAUAUGAUCACGAAUGACGGUUCGAUGCACAUGCAUUUGAUGGGACCGUAGAAAAUGGUGUGCCUCCCAGAAGAUGGACGAGGGAAGAAAUUUUAGCAGUGCUUAAUAAGUACAAUUUUGGGUAGCUCAGCAAUCAUCCCAAUAUUGUGGCGGCAAUACCUGAAAGACCCGACAGGUACAAAUUCUGGACACAUAAGAGCAUAUUCUGGGAACUCCCAUACUGGAGAAAGAUGUUGAUCAGGCACUACCUAGAUGUGAUGCACAUAGAAAAGAAUGUUUGCGACAGUGUGGUGAGCACAGUGCUGAACUUGGAGGGGAAGACGAAAGAUGGUCCUAAGGCACACAUUGAUCUAAAAAAAAUGCAAUUAAGAAGACAUCUGUGGUUGAAAGAAGGGAAGAAAAAAAUGCCUCAAGCUCUUUACACCGUGAAGCCUGACCAGAAGAACGUAAUUUUCAAGUGGAUGAGUUGUGUGAAGUAUCCUUCAGGCUAUGCAGGAAAUAUAGCCCGGUGUGUGAACUUCCGGGACAAUAAGAUGUACGGGUUGAAGAGUCAUGACUGUCAUAUCCUGCUACAACGUCUCUUCCCUGUUUUCAUUCGACCGUUCAUUCACCGUCAGGUGGUGGAGCCAUUAGUAGCGUUGGCAAGAUUCUUUCAGAAGUUAUGCACACGGGAAGUGAAAAAAUCUAACCUCCGAGAAAUACAAAAGGACAUCAUUUAUAUCAUGUGUAAAUUUGAGAGGAUAUUUCCUCCAAAUUUUUUUAACAUCAUGCCUCACCUGAUGAUCCAUCUUCCCGAGCAAUUGUUGCUUAUCGGUCCAGUACACUACACUUGGAUGUAUCCCAUGGAAAUGUACGUUUUUUACACAUGAAUUCCUCAAUAUAUAUGUUCAAUAAUCAUAACACUUUGCAACUUGAUUUAUAGGCAACUUGGAGACUACAAAGAUUAUGUGGUUAAUAAAUCCGCGCCUGAAUGAUGUAUAGCUAAAGCAUAUAUUGCGCACGAGUGCGUCACCUACAUGAAGUUGUAUUUAGGACCGUUGAAGGAAACUUCGCAAACCAUACCGGUAGAUUUACAGAAGUUCAAUCUUUCCAUACUCUUCAGUGAUGUGAAGUUUAUGGAAUUUUGCCAGACUCCUACAAGUUGCAACCACAUGAGCUAGUCAUUGCCCAUUGGUGGGUAUUGAUUAACUGUCCAGAAGUUGAAUACUGGAAAGACAUCCAUCUAAAUUGUCCAGACAUUCAAGGUGAUCUCGAUUACCACAACAGGGAGUUCGCAAACUAUUUUGGCGGCUAGUUACGUAAUUCAAUAUUUCUGUACGUAUUUAUGUUUAUUGCAUAAUUAUCCAUAUUUACAGUUGAAUGGUUUGUUGCAGAUGAACCAUAUUCAAUUUGAUGGUCACCCAAAUUGGUCGCACGAACUAAGACUUCUAGCGAUGAAGCCGAUAAUGUCAAGAGUUUAUCCGAUGUGCAAGGUGAAUGACGUGCAAUUUAUAUGUGAACAGAGAGACAGCAGACGGAAAACACAGAAUUCUGGGGUGAUGGCGCAUGGUAGGCGGAAUGGAGUUGACUAUUACGGUGUUCUCCAUUCAGUGGUGAAACUCGUUUAUGGGCAAGGCAUGACAGUGCACAUUUUCAAGUGUAGAUGGUUUGAUACUAGGCCGCAGAGCAUGAAGACCGAUCAGUACGGAAUAUUAUCGGUGAACACUGCUACAAGUUCUUACGAAAAUGACCCGUUCGUUUUUACCACAUCGGUAAAACAAGUGUUUUAUCUUGAUGACCUUGCUAAGGGUGACGCGUGGAAAGUAGUCAACCUUGUGCACCCUCGAAAUAUUUACCGGGCGGCUACACUUGGAGAGGCCGAAAACGAGGAAGAAGAUGUUGCGUAUCAAGAGCCCAGCGCAAUAGGUAUUCCUAACUCCUCUACCGUUCGCCUUAGUAAUUUUAAAGCGGGUCGUUCGGUGCGAAUUCGUGAUGAAGAGCCAAGGCUUAUUGAUGUUGAUCCAAAUCAAGAAACAGACGAAGACUCUGGCGUUGAGGAAAGAAAUAGAUUACCAUAAAUUAAUUCUGAUACCGAAGAAGACUCAUCGGAUGAUUCCGAUUACGAGCCUUAGUUUUAAUUCCGAUUACAUUAAUUUGUAAUAAAAAAGAAUGUAUAACCUUUAUAGUUUACAUAUGUUGAAUUCAUAUUUAUGUUAUUUUAUAUGAAUUUUGGUGUUAUAUGAACAUGAAGUUAGUAUGGUUUAAACCUUCUGUUUUUUUAAUGUAUUUUUUAUACUUUAGCCGACGAAAUAUACCAUAAUUCGUCGGCUUAAACCAUCUUGGCCGAUGAAAUAUACCAUAAUUCGUCGGCUUAAAUCAUCUUAGUCGACGAAAUAAGUCAUAAUUCGUCGGCUAAGAUGCGGUUAGCCGACGAAUACCCUAAUAUUUCGUUAGCUAAACCCUAAACCAUAAACCUUAGCCGACGAAUACCCUAAUAUACGACUUGUUGUGUGUCAUCGAUUUGAAACUAUUUUCAGUUGAAGGUCCAGGAAAAAUACGUAAUUUAGACGGUCCAAUGACCUUUUCCGUGCGUUUAGGGGUUUGACUUAACAGAUUGACCGUCCGGAUCGAGCCCUUAACCUUGUAGUUGAAUUUUUUCCCAUACGUGUAUUUUAUCAUGAUAGUCAGAUCUGACGGUCGGAUUUCCGUUUCUCAAGUUUGAUCAUCACAAUCACAACAUGCCUACUAAUGUUGUAUAACUUGUUUACCAAAUGUUAAGUAAAUGUUCCGUUUCAAAAACAAACUAUACGUAAAACCUUCAAACGCAAAAAAGUUGUGAAAUAAGAUAUGACCAGAAUGGUGAAAUACAUCCACGGUUGAAAAAUCACCGUAUUCCGGUAAAGUCUCGGUGCCGAUAGUUGCGGUUAAAGCAAUUUUCCAUUUUUUCUCCCUAUGGUAGCCCUAAUGUCGGUGGUUAUUUUCCGUAAAAUUUUUAUACGACUUGUUACGUCUCAUCGAUUUAAAACUAUUUUCAGUUGAAGGUCCGCCUAAAAUACGAAAUUUGGACGGUCCAAUGACCUUUUCCGUGCUUUUAGGAGUUUGACUUACAGGAUUGACCGUUCGGAUCGAGCCCUUAACCUUGUCGGAUCAAGUUGAAUUUUUUCCCAUACAUGUAUUUUAUCAUGGUGGUCAGAUUUGACGGUCGGAUUUCCGUUUCUCAAGUUUGAUCAUCACAAUUUGCCGAAUGUAUAAAAAGUACUUUUACCGACGAAUUUCAACGUUUAGCCGUGCGCUCGACCUUCCCGAGUUUGCGAGACUAAACCCUAAACACCACCUCCACCUCCUCGCCCGCCUUGCCGUGACGCCGUCGCUCCACAGCCUCCAUCGCCUCCUAGCAAAGCCCAAUUUCCCUCUCCCGGUCGCCCUCUGCUGCUCGCCUGCUCCGCCUCCACGCCCUCCAGUCCACCACCGUGUACCUCCUUUAAGCCUAAAGUGAGCCCCCUUUCUCACUUUAUUUGCCUUCAUUAUAUGAGAUUUUGUUGGCAGUGGUGGCGUUUUGGUGUUUCUUGAUGAUUUCCGGUCGCUUGUGAAUCUUUGAUCUUGAUUUUGGUUGUUUGAUAUAUUGGAUUACAGAGUUGAGAAUUUGAAAAGUUGGAUGAUCGGAGGAUAUUGUUUUAGUUGGAAGGUGUUGAAUAUCAGCUGUUGUUAUUGUUGUUAUUGCUGUUAAUGUCCAAACUUCUUAGUGUGUUUGAUAAAGAGAUGAUGAAGUUUGAUGNNNNNNNNNNNNNNNNNNNNNNNNNNNNNUUUGUGUAGUUGAGUUUCCUCAACUAUAGUUUAUGGGUGGUUGAUUUGAUUGCGGCGUUUUUGAAUUCGUAUAAUGCAUUGCCGUUUGUUAUUGGAUUAGUGCAUGGUUGUGUAGUGAAAUUGUCUAUUAUUUGAGUACCUCUAUUUUUUUUAUGCACGAGAUGAUUGUUGCAUUAUUGAUUCCGGUGUUUAAGAACUUUAUGUUAGUAUUAUGUUAUUAUAUUUUCAAUUUUAACUUAUGAUAUAGUAAUUGCGUUAUACGACCGAAUGAUCGAUACAUUUUUUUUUUUCCGAUAAUGAUCGGCACUUCAUAUAUGAACCCCCCUAUGAUAAAUUUCUAGCUCUGCCACUGUUCCUCAGCCUUGAUUUAAAUUAAUAUUUUAAACAGGAUGAGUGGUAAUUUUAGAUCAACGAAGGGUUCGAAGGGCCAAAGGUCUGAAUCGUCUAAGGAACUUCUAGCAACCCUCAAACGUCGUUUCAGGGCCUCAUGACAGCCAGACGUGCGACCCUUUUGGAGACGGCGCAAAAGCAGCCGGAGGUGCCCCCUUCAUCGAGGCAGCGGGGCGUCCCUUAUUCCUCGAGGCAACUGUGGCCUCAGACCCAGACGGAGGUGUCUGCACCCCGUAUGCCUGAGAUAUACCGGGCGCCCACUCCGGGUCCUACUUCUUCGGAUAGUGGGUCAUCUGGGGUACAGAUGCCGCCGCCUCAUCUGUUCCUUCCGCAUAUGAUACCGGCCUUAUCUGUAGUCGAUGGCUCAGGGACGCCGAUUUAUCCAUUGCCCCCGCCAGUGGCUCCAUCAGCAGCGUACCGGUUCGUGCCUUUUGAUACGUCUCUUAUUUCCGCGAGGGUAUCAUCAUCGGCGACAGAGACGGAAUCCGUCGCGUCCGCCGCAUUGCCCUAAGGUAAUGAAAGAUGAAUGAUUUGCUUUCUUAAAAUUAAUAAUAAAGGGUCUCUGAUUUUAAUAAAUAAUUUGGUUUAUCAUGUGAUAGGCACCGUCGGAACGAAGCCGGCGAAGAAGAAGAGAGGCCCCGUCACAGGGAAGACUCUCGAGAAGAUCGUCAGUACCUCAGUGGGGAUCGUCAUCCGUACUAACGGGGAUGGCGACAUAGUAUCGGGCGGGAAGUCGAGAACGUACUCCGGCCGCGUGGGAGCGCUCAUUAGGGAUAGAGUCCCUAUGUUGUGGUCAGACUAGGGCGAGGUCCUGUAGGAGGUUAAGGACAUGGUCCACAACGCGAUGUCGGUGAGUUUACAAAAUGCCUCAAUAAUAUUAUGUAUUACAUUAUUGAUUUCUCGAAAAACUAAACUAAUAAACGGUUAAAUACAGGUGUGGUUUGAGGUUCCCAAGCACACCUGAAGACCAGCUGGGCGGACGUUGUGCAUGGGGGAAGGUACGUUGGGAAGUUAAUGAAAAAACAAAAUUGUAUGUGAUAUUAAUAAUAUUUCUAAUAUUUUUGUUGUAUCUGUAGGUAAAAAGAGUGGAAGAACGAGUUGCGGACCCACUGGACUACGCACGGGAACGCACGUUCUGGUACCCCUGCUGAGUUCCAGUACAAGGAGUACGAGUGGCGUAGGCUUCUGACAUCAGAAUUCAACAACCCUCGUAAACAAGUAUUUAAAAAAAUUAAUUAGUUAAUUUGUCAUUAAGUACGUGCGUUUUUAAAUAUUUUACUAAUAGUUUAUUUUUUCUUUGAAGGCUGUUUCCCAGGCGAACGCUCAGAACCGGCAACGCAACACAAGGAACCAUCAUGCCGGUUCUAGACCGUUCUCUGUCUUCAUGGACGAGGCGGCAGGGAACAUCCAGAAAUCAACCGGUACGUCUAUACGUACGAGAAUGCAUAUCCUGACGCCUAGGAGGAUAUUGUAAGUCAUCUUACGUUUUUAAAUUUUAAAUUUUACUUAUAUAUAUGUCAAAAUGUUAAUUAAUCAUUUUUUUUCCUAUCUAAUUAGGCGAAGGUGAGGGAGGCUAGUGACGAGGUAAUGAGUACUAUAGUGAGGGAGACAUGGCCGGACACGCAAGAGGAAGAGAUGUCCGAAGCCAUGUCCCGGAUCGACACUUCGGAUCCGAGGGUUGGGGCGAGGAUCAUGGGUACAACUUUCCCACCACGAGCAAACAACUUCUACUGUCGGGGUCUAGGAAAGAAGGGCAAGGGGCUCCUGAAGACCACUCCAGGAUUUCAAUGAAAUGUAGCCUCGACCAACAGGAGGACCUCGACCACCAGCAGGACAACUCAGCUAGAGUCGGAAGUUUAUAAACUACGGGAACAGCAAGCCGCGCAGGCAGCCUAUAUUGCCGCGCAGGCAGCCUAUGCUGCUGACAUAUAUGUCAUCCAGCAGGCCCAGCAGUAGCAAAUGUUCCAGUACAUGCAGAAGUUUACAGCUGCCCAGCUUCAAGGACUUCUGACUCCGCCCAUGCCUACGGCUAUACCCCUACCCCAGCCGCCGCAACCUCCGCAGCAGCCCCCAGAAGCGGAUAUUAAUUUAGACGAUCUAGAUUUUGUGUAGUUGAUGAAUUAUAUUGUUUUAUGUGCUUGUUGUUAGUUAUAUGGAAUUGUUUUGGUGUAUUUUGCAACUUGCUUGGAAUGGUAAUUUAGAAAUUUUGUGUUUUUUAUAUUACUGGAAUGGACUUAUAGCCGAUGAAACAUGUAAGAUAUUCGUCAGCUAUAGUAUUUUAAUUUUUUUUUUAAUAAGGUUUAGCCGAUGAAUUAUGGCCCGUUUCGUCGGCUAAACCCUCCUAAAGGCCAUAAUUCGUCGGCUAAACCCUCCUAAAGCCGAUGAAACAGACUACAUUUCGUCGGCUUUAGUUAUUUUUUUAAUUUUUUAUUACACACUUUAGCCGACGACUAUCUAAUUUCUUCGUCGGCUAAAAUCUGGGAAAAAAGCAGACGACUUGUUUUUCGUCGGCUAAAUUAUGGGACUAUAGCCGACGACGUCUUCUUGUUUUGUCGGCUAAAGUCAUCGCCGACGACCUUUUCCGACGAAAUCUUAGCCGACGAAUUAAGCUAACAGGCCGACGAAACUUUUUCGUCGGCUAAAGUGCUUGUCCUAGUAGUGAUAUAUAAACUAACCUCUAUCUCAAUCAAAUGAAACAUAAAAAAAAAGUAGAGUUAGUUAUUCUAUAUAUAAUACGUAACUUGAAAUAUAUCACAUUAGUAAUCUGGAUUACCCUAUCUUGUUCAGUUGUACCACUUGCUCUUUUCCUUUCAACUUCAGCAUAAAUGCCACAAAAUUUGUUAACAUCAAGUUGAAUUCCAGACCAACGAUUCAUGAGAGAACCCUUAUUGCGAUCACACUCUAGUUCAAAGGUCUUCUCAGCAUAGAAAUACCCCCAAAUUCUUUUCCAAUAUGCAUCACCUUUUUGAUCAUUUCCUAUUAUUGGAUCAAGGGAAGUAUUGAGCCAGGCAUAGACAAGAAGGAUGUCUUCUUGACUGGAGAAAUUCUUGACUCUUUUAGCUUUCUUUGUGGUUUGAGAUUCACUCUGAACACCAACUUGAUUUUGAAUAGGGCUCUGACUAUAGCUAAUACCAUCACCAGAUGCAGGAUAACCAAAAUUCGGAAACAUAUUUUCAUUAUUCCCUGAGCUUCCACUGAGGAUACUAGCAUAAUUUAAAAUAUCAUCUCCAAAAUCUAUUUCAACAAGAGGGACUUGAGCAGAAUCCAUCUACAUGUAAAAAGAGUUGAUAAAGCAUGAGAAAAGAUUUAGAGAACAUGUCAAAGCAAAGUAAGAAAACAAGUAUAUCCCAUCAAUUUCAUCAAGUAUGUAAUCCAUACACGAUCCAACAUCCGUCCAAAGCAUAUACAUAUAUAAACUAACCUCUAUCUCAAUCAAAUGAUUUAGAUCCAGUAUCUGAUAUAUCACCAAUCUAUUCAAGUUUCAAGAAAUUGCAAGGUAGUGUAUAUAUAUAUAUAUAUAUAUAUAUACAGGCCGGAUGUGAAGCGGAC